UGGGCUCUGACAGCAGCUAUGUCUCUCCCAUCUAUAGCCUCCUCCACACUUCUGACUCUUCAGGGACUCCAGAGAUGCCAAAUCUUCCCCCAGGUGAUGGCUAUCUUCCCCUCCUGAUGGUCUGUUUCUUUAUCCCAUGAUUUUUCCCUGAGCCUCAACUUUAAUCUCAGUAAUCAAUCUUUUCACCAAGUAUCUUCAAGUGGACUGCUUGGAUUCAGGAACUUUGUUGUUCAAUUAAAUGGAGAGCUUGUGCAUUUCAAUGAGACAAACGUUGCUAGCAAGAGGUAAAGACAACUGGGAACACCAAGAGGCAUGGCAUGAGAUGGUCAUAGUCAGAAGCUCCGUCAAAUGGCAAACACUUUUAAAUCUCUAAUAUGUGGUAGGUACUUUCCUAAGAGCUUUACAUGAAACGUCUUAUUUAAUCUUCACCAAAAUAAAUAAAGUAGACACUGCCAUUAUUAACAUUGUACAGACCAGGAAAUGGAGACACAGAGAAACUUGACAAGCUGAAAGUGAUGGAACCAGUACCCAGGAAAGAAAAGCCCAGUACCCCUUUUUAAUGACUGUCUGUGUUUCAUGGCAUGUUUUUCCCAUAUAUCUCCUUGAUUUUGAUGCUUCACCCAAAUUAUCUCUCCCAGGCCAGUGUACCAUUCCCCAGCUGCUAUGAGAGUUGACUACGAACUGCUCACAGUUGUCUUUUCCAGAGAACUGUCUCUGACCAAUGGGGGUCACCUUGGGCAAGAAUGCCUAGGAGUUAUGCCGCUUCUUCCCCCUUCAGAUGGGAGGGUAGCAGCUUGUAACUAAUAAUAGACUGAAAGGGGAGCACAAAGGCCUGUUACUCAAGGUGACCAGUGCUACAGUGCAUGUAUACACCAGAACUCUCCGUGGGAUCAGCCUAAGGCUUAGAGUUCAGCUGAAGUUACUGUUUUGUUUGACUCCUUCCUCUGUCCCAUCUUGCUUCUCUUAGUCCCUUUCUUCUGAAUGCCCUUCCUCAAUCAUUCACUUGCACAAGAAUCUGCAUCCCAGGCUCUGCUUCUAGGGACUCUGAGCUAGGACAGACCUUAUUUCACCCUUUAGGGUUUACACUCAAUAUCACCUCUCCAGGUUUGCUAUUUUUUUUCCAUUUUAAUUACAGUUCAGGAUCCCCUUGGCUUCACUUCCUUUAGCUUUAAAUUAAGAUAUCCCACCUGGUCCAACCCAAAUACCAGAACGUCUUACCUCCAUGAAUACCACCUACCUGAGGAAUUCAAUAAACACUUAUGGACCAAAAGAAGAGUAUCAAAUUCAACCAGUCACAUAUUAUAAUAACAAUAAUAACAGCAGCAGAAAGUGCCUCCUUGAGACUAGCUGAACUUAUCAAAUAAGAAAAUGCUGGCUUGGGAACUGUGACUCACACCUACAAUCCUAGCACUUUGAGAGGCCAACCUAGGAGGAUUGCUUAAGGCCAGGAGUUCAAGACCAACCUGGACAACAUAGCAAAAAUUAGCCCAGUGUGGUGGUGUGUGUCUGUAAUUUCAACUACUUGUGAGGUAGGAAGAUUGAUUGAACUUAGGAGUUUGAGGCUGCAGUGAGCUAUGAUUCUACAGCUGCCCUCCAACCUGGACAAGAGAUGAGACACUGCCUCUAAAAAAAAAAACAAAGAAAAGAAAACUAUAAAUCAAAUGCUGGAGUCAUCAGAGAGAACAUACAGUCAACUCAUAAGGAUUAGUUUAUGCCUUCAAAAACUUGUGUUAGGUCCAGUGGGGAAAAAAAUCACUAGUCUCUGUGUCUACUGGGGGAUCUCCAACUCAUCCUUGAAGACUUGGAUCAAUACCCCUUUUUUUUCUGUAAAUCUCAACAUAAGCUCCUCUCCCAUCCCACCAAGACUGAGCUGACUGAAUCUCCUUUACAGAAGACAACACCUGGUACCCAUUAUAAUGUCUUUUAUAAUGCUUGCCACACUGUACAACAAUUUUGUUGGCACCUUUUUCCUCCUUGCUUAUCUGUGAGCCCUUGACGCCAGCAGCCAUGUUUAUUAUUGCUCUAUCUAUACCCCAUCAAGCAUGCAACCCAUAAAAAAUAACAAAUAUCUAUUUGUAAAAUGCCUGAAUGAUAGUGGAGAACAAGCAGGACUGGAACCAGCUCCAGAAUCACAUAAAGACCCCACUCUUGUUUCUUGGGAUCGCUUUCUGCAUAAACUACCUGCACUCAAGCCAUUUCCUCGGCCUCUGCUUUGGGAGAGGAAGGAAGAAAUCAAGACUAGGACAAGAGUAAAGGGCAAUGUCUGUGACAAUGUGAUGGUUGGAGCUGAGGCCGCCAUCUUGCGUGCAUGAGGACAGACAUCUCUCAUUUUGAAGAAGACAGAUGAGAAGGGAAGAAAGUGCCAAGCUGUCAUUGCUUUCUUGAGUUUCCCAACCAAUCCUGAGACUACCUGACAACAAGAUUCUUAAAUAAAUAAUAACCCUCUUGAUGAAUUUGAUCAGCGUUUAUUCAGGUAUUUGGAUGGAUGAAUUUGAAUUUAGCAAACUACAGAUGAGAAGGAAACAGCAGGACCAUUCCUAACACUUGUGGGACCCAGAGCAAGCUAGGAACAAUGACCCGCAAAUCACAUACUAAAUAUUUACCAGUUAAAAAUUAAGGUAUAAACUGCUAAGUUAAAUGUGUUCUGUCCUCAUGCCUUGGAAAAUAGUAUGCCAUCAUAACAACCUGAGAAGACAAAUUGCAAUUUUGAGUGUUUGAACUCCUUUUGGGGCAUUGUGCUGGAACAUGGUGAUACAAGAAGAUCCUAGUUCCAGUCCCUGAUCCAUGGGUGGGCAUCUUCCCUUCCCAUUCCCCAGCUCUGUCCUACCUGUGAGAUGUCUUGAGAGAACAUAUUCAGACACUUUAGCCUGCAAGUUCAAAUGUCAUCCAAUUCUCCCAUACUUCCAAUAGACAUACUCGGCUCCCCUGUGGACACCAAGGUAUGCAGAGCUGUGGAAGGAUGGACCGGGGAAAAGGCACACAUGGCUCUGAAACCAAAUCAUGGCCCAUUAGAAAGAAAUGUCAGAGUCCUGGGCACCUGAAGAACAGCCUGAACAAAACAGCUUGGAACUUUGAAACACAGCAGGAGAGAGGCCUUCAAAUGCAUGUGGCUUUUUGUAGGGGCUCUUCCUGACUGAGUCUAAGGUGAUACUGAGAAACAGUCUGUCAAGGGAAGAUGUUCACCCAAACAUCACCAGGAGACAGGCUGAAAUCUUAAAACCUCAGCAGCAUGUUGGUCCCCAGAAGUAUUUACAAAGUAGCUCUUCCCUUUUUCAUCUUAUUUGUAAGAUUCGAACUUCAGUGAUUUUCAGCAAAUGACGAGAAGUUGUUCUUAGAUGUAAAUCCACAGAGAUGGAUUUAUCAAGAAGCCAAUGAAGCUGAAGCUCAAGGCUUCUCACUGGCACAGGUUCUGAGGAAGAGCCUCGACAACAUAUUCACACAAUACGGAGGCAGCCAUCUUGUGAACAAGAGGGCAGACAUCAUCAUCUGAAGAUGGCAGAAUGUAUUUUUGUAAUACGUAAAGGGUCUCACUCUGUUGCCCAGGGUGGAAUGAAGUGGCAGGAUCAUAGCUCACUACAGCCUUGAUUUUCUGUGGUCAAAUUAUUCUUCCACCUCAGCCUCCUGCCUCAGCCUUCUGUGUAGCUUCCAUCCAUUGUUGGCUGAAGGCUGCUCCUGGAGAUGUUGACUUCUCAGCACUUUCAAACUUCUCACUUCUUGGGCCAAGAGAAAGCCCUCG
Molecule: long non-coding RNA, 3736 nt
Filed under: Homo sapiens (human)
Lineage: Eukaryota; Metazoa; Chordata; Mammalia; Primates; Hominidae
Description: HSALNT0264518
Source: RNAcentral